Molecule: ribosomal RNA, 343 nt
Filed under: uncultured Pseudomonas sp.
Lineage: Bacteria; Pseudomonadati; Pseudomonadota; Gammaproteobacteria; Pseudomonadales; Pseudomonadaceae
Description: bacterial SSU rRNA
Rfam family: Bacterial small subunit ribosomal RNA
Source: RNAcentral
CUGCAUGGCUGUCGUCAGCUCGUGUCGUGAGAUGUUGGGUUAAGGUCCGUAACGAGCGCAACCCUGUCCUUAGUUACCAGCACGUUAUGGUGGGCACUCUAAGGAGACUGCCGGUGACAAACCGGAGGGAAGGUGGGGAGUGACGUCAAGUCAUCAUGGCCCUUACGGCCUGGGCUACACACGUGCUACAAUGGUCGGUACAAAGGGUUGCCAAGCCGCGAGGUGGAGCUAAUCCCAUAAAACCGAUCGUAGUCCGGAUCGCAGUCUGCAACUCGACUGCGUGAAGUCGGAAUCGCUAGUAAUCGUGAAUCAGAAUGUCACGGUGAAUACGUUCCCGGGCCUU